GGAUGCUUAACCGACUGACCACCCAGGUGCCCCAGGUUUAUGUGUUUUCAACCAGCUCUCAUUGCCAAGAUGUAGGAUUGGUCUUUUCCGAACCCCAAAAUUUAAGGAUUAAGAGAAAAUUUUGAAUCAUGAUUUAAAAAGUUUUCUUAGCACAGAUUUUUUUUGGGUCAAAAAUGAAGGUUGCCUAAAUAGAAGGCAACAAUAUGCUGCUUUUGUGCAGACAUCACAAAUCAUGAACUAGCUCAAAGCAUAGUUUAGAAGGGAGAGCAAAGCAAGAGGGGCAGCACAACACAGUGGUAAUGUGUGGACUUUGAAAUCAGAACACCUGGGUUUGAAUUAUGAUUUCUGACAAAUGAAAACUAAGUAGCUCUUUUGUUUGUUGGAUGUUUUGAUUUUUCUGUUAGGUAGAAAGGAAAGGAGUUAUUAACAGUCUUCUGUUUUGUUCUGAUGAUAGAAAAAUGUGUGCUGACCGUCAAAACAGCUUUCCUACUUUACAAUAUUGCUAUCAGCCUUUGUGUGAAGAUGCUAUCUUGUUUAAUCUGGUGAAAAGAAUCCAAGAGGUUGUGGUUACGUGGCAUGCAUUGCUAUGGUAAAGAGGGCAGAUGUUUGAAAAAGCAAAACUGGUGAUCAGAAGGACGUUUUCACAGACCAGACCAUCUGCUGCUUCCACAUUCACCGGUCUAGAAACAAGCACUAGAAUCAGCUGGAUGAUGGGAAAACCAGUGCGAACAUGGAAAUGAAUAUAUAGUGACAGAAGCAGAUCAUUGGUCGUCUGGAGACACAGUGGAGAGCAAGUGAAAAAAGAGUCAUAACCAAGGGGGUAAGAAGAAGCUCUCAAGGAUGGACAUGUUCCUGGUCUUGAUUAUGGUGAUAGUUUCAUUGGUAUAUACAUAAGACAAAAGUUACCAUAUUAUACACUUUAAAUAUGUGUAGUUUAUGGUAUGUAUUAAAUUUAAGUAAAUUUGCUUUA
Suricata suricatta (meerkat) is the source of this 970-nucleotide long non-coding RNA. RefSeq lists it as uncharacterized. NCBI's taxonomy places the organism in Eukaryota, Metazoa, Chordata, Mammalia, Carnivora, Herpestidae. The transcript has 3 exons. The record is from RefSeq and is a predicted model, not a curated record.